AAACAAAAAACUGUUCAGAUAGAUUCUCACCCAUCUCCUGGAAGUCAACAAAGGGAUUCCAGGGGUGGAAGAGAUGGGCAAGUUGGCAUUCUAUAAGGUGGUGGAAAGGAUGGGCAAGCCGGCACUCUAUAAGGUCAGGUGUGAAUUUAGCCUUCUGUUUAGAAUGCAGUCAUGUCUCCUGUUGCUUUUGAGAGUCAGUAUGCACUAUCAGUUAACCUGCCAGCCCUUUUGGCCCUUGGAAUGAUUUAGGACUUAGUAAUUUAAUCUUCAUGUACAACCCCUUUUGUAGACAAAUACUUGAUGUCUCUAUCAUAAAAAUUCCUUAUUAAGGUUCCCCUAUUAUCAUAUCCUUAGUGCAACAGCAAGAUAUCUGGAAAACUAUUGUGGAAUUUAACCUCUAAGCUGUGAUAGCUUUCAUCAGUUUUACUGCCUUCAAUUACUCCAAGGACUUUUUUUCCCCCCCGAGACAGAUUUCUCUGUGUAGUUUUGGUGCCUGUCCUGGAUCUCGCUCUGUAGACCAGGCUGGCCUCAAACUCACAGAGAUCCGCCUGGCUCUGCCUCCCUAGUGCUGGGAUUAAAGACGUGCGCCACGACCGCCUGGCUCCAAGGAACUAUUAUAUGAGCUAAAACUUCGUCUCUGGGCCCGACCUACAGGAUUUCCAGAAGCACAACUGUAAAGAGGUUUCCAAAAACAGAGACAUAGCGGUGUAACGAACAAGACUUCCGGAAACUGUGAGUGUGUAUAGUGCACGCUGCCGUGUUUACAUCAUGAAGCUCUGGUGUCCUGAACUCUAACCCUCCUUAUGUUUGAGCCUUUGAAAGUGAAGAACCAAGAGAAGAGCACUUGCCUCAUGACAGGGACUGCAUGUGAGGAUCUAAACGCAUUUAUGCCGAGAAAUGCCUGUGUAACUGACAUAUCCUUUUGUUACUGUUAAGAUCCCUGUGAGCUAAGUCAAUGUAGGGGGGUCUGGACCUAAUCCCCAGCACCCCAAAUAAAAAAUAAUAAAUA
Long non-coding RNA from Peromyscus californicus insignis, 1009 nucleotides. RefSeq lists it as uncharacterized. The transcript is spliced from 3 exons. The record is from RefSeq and is a predicted model, not a curated record. Lineage: Eukaryota; Metazoa; Chordata; Mammalia; Rodentia; Cricetidae.